AGGACGAACGCUGGCGGCGUGCUUAACACAUGCAAGUCGAGGGAGAACCACAGCGGGGGUAACCCUGCUGUGGGGAAACCGGCGAACGGGUGAGUAACACGUGGGCAACCUGCCCCAGACUCUGGGAUAACCUCGGGAAACCGGGGCUAAUACCGGAUACUCUCAUCGAACCACAUGGCUCGAUGAGGAAAGCUCCGGCGGUCUGGGAUGGGGCCCGCGGCCUAUCAGCUUGUUGGUGGGGUAACGGCCCACCAAGGCGACGACGGGUAGUUGGCGUGAGAGCGUGGCCAACCACACUGGGACUGAGACACGGCCCAGACUCCUACGGGAGCAGCAGUGGGGAAUCUUGGGCAAGUGGGCGCAAGCCUGACCCAGGCCGACGCCGCGGUGGGGAUGAAGGUCCGUUCGGGUUGUAAACCGUCGUUUCGGCGGGAAGAACGCCGCAAGGUGACGGUACCGCGAGAAGAACGCCCGCUAACUACGUGCCAGC
This 490-nucleotide ribosomal RNA is filed under the name uncultured soil bacterium. RNAcentral describes it as "bacterial SSU rRNA". It matches the Rfam family "Bacterial small subunit ribosomal RNA", at positions 26 to 512 of the family's 1533-position model. The record is from RNAcentral.